RNAcentral lists this ribosomal RNA (543 nucleotides) under uncultured archaeon. RNAcentral describes it as "bacterial SSU rRNA". It matches the Rfam family "Archaeal small subunit ribosomal RNA", at positions 339 to 888 of the family's 1478-position model. The record is from RNAcentral.
GCGCGAAACCUCCUCAAUGCACUCACGUGCGAAGGGGUUACCUCGAGUGCCAUCUGAAGAAGGUGGCUUUUCUUUGGUCUAAAUAGCCUUGGGAAUAAGAGGGGGGCAAGACUGGUGUCAGCCGCCGCGGUAACACCAGCCCCUCGAGUGGUGGGGAUGAUUAUUUGGCCUAAAGCGUCCGUAGCCGGCCGAGUAAGUUUCCCGUCAAAUCCAGCGUCUCAAGCGUUGGACUGCGGGAAAUACUGCCCGGCUAGAGAGUGGGAGAGGUAAGCGGUAUUCUGGGGGUAGGGGCGAAAUCCUUUGAUCCCCGGAGGACCACCAGUGGCGAAGGCUGCUUACUAGAACACGUCUGACGGUCAGGGACGAAAGCUGGGGUAGCGAACCGGAUUAGAUACCCGGGUAGUCCCAGCUGUAAACGAUGCACGCUAGGUGUUGGGUCGGCCACGUGCCGCCCCAGUGCCGCAGGGAAGCCGUUAAGCGUGCCGCCUGGGGAGUACGGCCGCAAGGCUGAAACUUGAGGAAUUGGCGGGGAGCACCGACCGA